Amblyraja radiata (thorny skate) is the source of this 370-nucleotide long non-coding RNA. RefSeq lists it as uncharacterized. The record is from RefSeq and is a predicted model, not a curated record. Lineage: Eukaryota; Metazoa; Chordata; Chondrichthyes; Rajiformes; Rajidae. The transcript is spliced from 2 exons.
UCGUCCCACCGGUAAAGGUUGAAUCUCAGAAGAUUUACGUUCUGCGUGGAUCCUCAUGGAUUGACAGUGUGGAUGGACUCGUGAAUCAUAAAGCACGGGUCACAAGCAGAAUGGGAAACACCGCAGACUCAGCUUCUGAAAACCUGGGAUUCCGAUGCGCUAAAAGCCUGGCUCCAUCUAACCAUAAACAAAAAGGAAAGAAUAAAAUUGAACUCUGAAAGGUGUAAUUUUAAAGCAAUUGGUGAAAUGCCAGCGGGCCAAUUUUGGGUGUCACACAGAUUGAAAUUGAACAUGUAUCUCAAGUAUCUCUUUCAAGUAUCUCCUUCAAGUAUCUCCUUCAUAUUUAAUAAAUAAGUAUAUCUUUCUUUCA